RNAcentral lists this transfer RNA (69 nucleotides) under Rulyrana sp. 1 AJ-2017. Its description in RNAcentral is "tRNA-Val". It matches the Rfam family "tRNA". Rfam says of the family: Transfer RNA (tRNA) molecules are approximately 80 nucleotides in length. Their secondary structure includes four short double-helical elements and three loops (D, anti-codon, and T loops). Lineage: Eukaryota; Metazoa; Chordata; Amphibia; Anura; Centrolenidae. The record is from RNAcentral.
CGAAGCGUAGCUUAAACAAAGCAUUUCGCUUACACCGAAAAAAUAUCUGUGAAACUCAGAUCUCUUCGA